CCAGCGAUGCCCUUGCCGCCAUGUUGCUUGUGGGCAGAUGCCGGAGGCUGACGAGCGGAGGAAACCGGCACCGCGAGUCUCAGACUUCGUCAUCCUGGUCUGCAUGACUUCCCGAGAUCCUGAGUUUGGUCCCCAGCUCCUGCGUCUGGAGACCUGUCUCCCCGGCUCCACCGGGGCUCGUUCCAGGUGGUCUGCGCUCCGGCGUCCCUGACCAAGCCCUGCGAGUGACCGGCCUGCCUUGGGGUGCACCCGCGGGAACGAACGUCGGGGACCUGCCCCACCCCCAAAGCCAGUGUCGUGAAGAUUGCUCCGGGCAAAGGGAAGGAUGCCACUCUUCUUCCGGAAGCGGAAACCCAGCGAGGAGGCUCGGAAACGCCUGGAGUACCAGAUGUGUCUGGCGAAAGAGGCUGGAGCCGACGACAUCCUUGACAUCUCUAAAUGUGAGCUCUCGGAGAUUCCAUUUGGGGCUUUCGCAACAUGCAAAGUUCUGCAGAAGAAGGUGUUCAUCAUCCACACGAAUUACCUCACCUCCCUGCUCCCGAAAUCCUGCAGCCUGCAGAGUCUCCUCACCAUCAAGGUCCUGGACCUUCAUCAUAACCAGCUGACAGCCCUGCCUGAGGACAUCGGGCAGUUGGCGGCCCUCCAGGUGUUAAACGUGGAGAGGAAUCAACUGACGCAUCUCCCACGUUCCGUUGGGAAACUGAGCCAGCUCCAGACCCUCAAUGCAAAAGACAACAGGCUGAAGGAGCUUCCGGACACCGUGGGGGAACUUCGAAGCUUACGUACUCUGGACGUCAGCGAAAACGAGAUUCGGAGACUGCCGCAGAUGCUGGCGCACGUUCGGACUCUGGAGACCCUGAGCCUGGAUGCCUCCUCCAUGGCCUACCCACCGCCGGAGGUGUGUGGCGCCGGCACCGAGGCCAUUCAGCAGUUCCUCUGCCGAGAGUCAGGGCUGGAGUACUACCCACCGUCUCAGUACCUGCUGCCCGUCCUAGAGCGGGACGGGGCCGAGAGCUCCCAGGACAGCCCCGAUGGGCCCAUGGGCCGAUUCUCCAGGGAGGAGGUAGAAUGGCAGAAUAGGUUCUCAGACUAUGAGAAGAGGAAGGAACAGAAGAUGCUGGAGAAACUCGAGUUUGAACGGCGCCUGGAAGUCGGGCAGCGAGAGCACGCGCAGCUCCUGCAGGAGAGCAACAGCCACCGGGACGAGAUCCUUCAGACGGUCAGGGAGGAGCAGUCCCGGCUGGAGCAGGGCCUCAGCAAGCACCGGCGCUACCUGGACGCAGAGCGUCAGCGGCUGCAGGAGCAGCUGAAGCAGACGGAGCAGAACAUCUCCAACCGGAUCCGGAAGCUCCUGCAAGACAAUCAGAGGCAAAAAAAGACCUCCGAGAUUUUGAAGUCGCUGGAAAAUGAAAGAAUAAGAAUGGAGCAGUUGAUGUCCAUAACCCAGGAGGAGACGGAGAACCUGCGAAGACGUGAGGUUGCCUCCGCCAUGCAGCAGAUGCUGACCGAGAGCUGCAAGAACCGCUUCCUUCAGACGGCCUACGAGUCCCAGAGGCAGAGCUUGGUCCAGCAGGCCUGUUCCAGCAUGGCUGAAAUGGACGAGCGGUUCCAGCAGAUUCUGGCGUGGCAGCAGAUGGACCAGAACAAAGCCAUCAGCCACAUCCUGCAGGAGAGCGCCAUGCAGAAGGCUGCAUUUGAGGCUCUCCAGGUGAAGAAGGACCUGAUGCAUCGGCAGAUCAGGAACCAGAUUAAGUUAAUAGAGACUGAGUUAUUGCAGCUGACACAGCUGGAGUUAAAGAGGAAGGCCCUGGACACAGAGGCACUGCAGGAGAUGAUCUCGGAGCAGCGCUGGGCCCUCAGCUCCCUGCUGCAGCAGCUGCUGAAAGAGAAGGCGCAGCGAGAGGAGGAGCUCCGGGAGAUCCUGACGGAGUUAGAAGCCAAAAGCGAAACCAAGCAGGAAAACUACUGGCUGAUUCAGUAUCAACGUCUCUUGAACCAGAAGCCCUUGUCCUUGAAGCUGCAGGAGGAAGGCCUGGAGCGCCCGCUGGCGGCCCUGCUGGCGGAGCUGGCGGCCGAGCACUACCUGCCCAUCUUUGCCCACCACCGCGUCUCGCUGGACACGCUGAGCCGGAUGAGCCCCGGGGACCUGGCCAAGAUGGGCGUCUCGGAGGCCGGCCUGCAGCGUGAGAUCCCGCGCAGAGCCCAGGAGCUGCUGGAUGCGGCCCGGACCCGGCCAGGCUCUUUGGUCCCCACAGAGCUGCUGAACCACCCCAAGAAGAGGGCCUUGGGGCCCCGGAACCCACUGCCCCUGAGGAGUUCCCUGAGCCGGUGAGGCCGUCGGCGCCCCCCGCGGAGCUGGAGGUGCCGCUGUCGGAGUGCGUCGUGUGCCUGGAGCGGGAGGCGCAGAUGAUCUUCCUCAACUGCGGCCACGUCUGCUGCUGCCCGCAGUGCUGCCAGCCGCUGCGCACCUGCCCGCUGUGCCGCCAGGAGAUCGCCCAGCGCCUCCGGAUCUACCACCGCAGCUGAGCGCCCGCCGGGCCCAGGCCCCCGGCCCCCCGCCCCCCGCCCCAGGCCCAGGGCUCCAGCACGCCCCUGCUCUGCCCACACGAGUAAGGCCCCCUCUCGUCCUGGGCCCUGCCCCACAGCCCGGGAGUGUGCCCCCACCCUUGACCUCCAAGCACUGCUAGGCUGGGGCAGAAUGUGCUCCUGACCCAUGACCCGAGUCCUGUGACAGAAGAGUGAGGGUCCCUCGUGGCACCGGGAAGGCUCUGGGCGUGGCGGCGCAGCUGUGCCGCCCUCGGAGCCAGGGCUGGGGUCCUGGCCAGGGUGGCUUUGCCACCUCCCAGCAGACUGUGGGGGCCCCUGUCCCUGCAGGAGCCUCAGCCUCCUUACCGGGGGAACAUAGACAGUGCUGUCCCCGCUGCGGGGAGGGGCGGCCACAGGCCACCGCAGGCGUGCUCUGAGGUCCCCCGAGCAGCUGGAAGGUGCUCAGUGCAGACCUUGCACCCAGAGCAACAGCAGCCCCCCCUCGCCCCCCUCGCUGCUGUCCCCACUGCUCUGGGCCCCUCUGCUCCCCGGUUCAGGGGCAGGUGGUGAGCUUUGCAGACCCAAACCAGGAGCAUCGGUGUCAAUAAACCCCCCUCCAGCUGCUUC
This is an RNA transcript of Phyllostomus discolor (pale spear-nosed bat), 3153 nucleotides long. It is a transcript of the gene named leucine rich repeat and sterile alpha motif containing 1, with no coding region annotated. The transcript is spliced from 26 exons. The record is from RefSeq and is a predicted model, not a curated record. NCBI's taxonomy places the organism in Eukaryota, Metazoa, Chordata, Mammalia, Chiroptera, Phyllostomidae.